RNAcentral lists this ribosomal RNA (1066 nucleotides) under Lactiplantibacillus plantarum. RNAcentral describes it as "bacterial SSU rRNA". It matches the Rfam family "Bacterial small subunit ribosomal RNA", at positions 33 to 1071 of the family's 1533-position model. The record is from RNAcentral. Lineage: Bacteria; Bacillati; Bacillota; Bacilli; Lactobacillales; Lactobacillaceae.
GGGCAUGCGGGUGCUAUAAUGCAGUCGAACGAACUCUGGUAUUGAUUGGUGCUUGCAUCAUGAUUUACAUUUGAGUGAGUGGCGAACUGGUGAGUAACACGUGGGAAACCUGCCCAGAAGCGGGGGAUAACACCUGGAAACAGAUGCUAAUACCGCAUAACAACUUGGACCGCAUGGUCCGAGCUUGAAAGAUGGCUUCGGCUAUCACUUUUGGAUGGUCCCGCGGCGUAUUAGCUAGAUGGUGGGGUAACGGCUCACCAUGGCAAUGAUACGUAGCCGACCUGAGAGGGUAAUCGGCCACAUUGGGACUGAGACACGGCCCAAACUCCUACGGGAGGCAGCAGUAGGGAAUCUUCCACAAUGGACGAAAGUCUGAUGGAGCAACGCCGCGUGAGUGAAGAAGGGUUUCGGCUCGUAAAACUCUGUUGUUAAAGAAGAACAUAUCUGAGAGUAACUGUUCAGGUAUUGACGGUAUUUAACCAGAAAGCCACGGCUAACUACGUGCCAGCAGCCGCGGUAAUACGUAGGUGGCAAGCGUUGUCCGGAUUUAUUGGGCGUAAAGCGAGCGCAGGCGGUUUUUUAAGUCUGAUGUGAAAGCCUUCGGCUCAACCGAAGAAGUGCAUCGGAAACUGGGAAACUUGAGUGCAGAAGAGGACAGUGGAACUCCAUGUGUAGCGGUGAAAUGCGUAGAUAUAUGGAAGAACACCAGUGGCGAAGGCGGCUGUCUGGUCUGUAACUGACGCUGAGGCUCGAAAGUAUGGGUAGCAAACAGGAUUAGAUACCCUGGUAGUCCAUACCGUAAACGAUGAAUGCUAAGUGUUGGAGGGUUUCCGCCCUUCAGUGCUGCAGCUAACGCAUUAAGCAUUCCGCCUGGGGAGUACGGCCGCAAGGCUGAAACUCAAAGGAAUUGACGGGGGCCCGCACAAGCGGUGGAGCAUGUGGUUUAAUUCGAAGCUACGCGAAGACUUUACCAGGUCUUGACAUACUAUGCAAUCUAGAGAUUAGACGUUCCCUUCGGGGACAUGGAUACAGGUGGUGCAUGGUUGUCGUCAGCCCGUGUCGUGAG